RNAcentral lists this ribosomal RNA (496 nucleotides) under Pediococcus pentosaceus. RNAcentral describes it as "bacterial SSU rRNA". It matches the Rfam family "Bacterial small subunit ribosomal RNA", at positions 10 to 477 of the family's 1533-position model. Lineage: Bacteria; Bacillati; Bacillota; Bacilli; Lactobacillales; Lactobacillaceae. The record is from RNAcentral.
AGUUUGAUCCUGGCUCAGGAUGAACGCUGGUGGCGUGCCUAAUACAUGCAAGUCGAACGAACUUCCGUUAAUUGAUUAUGACGUACUUGUACUGAUUGAGAUUUUAACACGAAGUGAGUGGCGAACGGGUGAGUAACACGUGGGUAACCUGCCCAGAAGUAGGGGAUAACACCUGGAAACAGAUGCUAAUACCGUAUAACAGAGAAAACCGCAUGGUUUUCUUUUAAAAGAUGGCUCUGCUAUCACUUCUGGAUGGACCCGCGGCGUAUUAGCUAGUUGGUGAGGUAAAGGCUCACCAAGGCAGUGAUACGUACCGACCUGAGAGGGUAAUCGGCCACAUUGGGACUGAACACGGCCCAACUCCUACGGGAGGCACAUAGGGAAUCUUCCACAAUGGACGCAAGUCUGAUGGACAACGCCCGUGAUGAAAAGGGUUUCGGCUCUAAAGCUCUGUUGUUAAAAAAAACUGGGUAAAUAACUGUUUACCUUGACGGAA